UACGUAGGGGGCAAGCGUUGUCCGGAAUCAUUGGGCGUAAAGCGCGCGUAGGCGGCCCGGUAAGUCCGUUGUGAAAGUCAAAGGCUCAACCUUUGAACGCCGAUGGAUACUGCCGGGCUAGAGUCCGGAAGAGGCGAGUGGAAUUCCUGGUGUAGCGGUGAAAUGCGCAGAUAUCGGGAGGAACACCAAUGGCGAAGGCAGCUCGCUGGGACGGUACUGACGCUGAGACGCGAAAGCGUGGGGAGCAAACAGG
RNAcentral lists this ribosomal RNA (253 nucleotides) under uncultured bacterium. Its description in RNAcentral is "partial 16S ribosomal RNA". It matches the Rfam family "Bacterial small subunit ribosomal RNA", at positions 524 to 776 of the family's 1533-position model. The record is from RNAcentral.